Molecule: unclassified non-coding RNA, 164 nt
Filed under: uncultured fungus
Lineage: Eukaryota; Fungi
Description: sequence contains ITS1, 5.8S rRNA gene
Source: RNAcentral
CCGAGUUCGGGGUUUCCCCAACUCCCACCCUUGUUUACCAGACGUUGCUUCGGCGAGACGUUGGAAGCAACCAUCGGCAAUUCAUCAAGAUGCGCCGAUGCGUGCUCGCCGGACUCCAAAUACUCUUAGACUAUGUACAGUCAGAUGAAACAAGCAAUAUAUAA